AUUAUACUCAAUGAAAGAUGUCAAGAAGAAAUAGUCAGAGAAAGGAUAUUUGUACGUUAAAAUCCAAUGACUUGUCCAUGAACAGAUAUUUACAAGUAUGCGUUUCAGAAUCUGGAUUCUCACUUGGCUCCUGUACGUCUGCAGACAGCAAUGCACCACAUUGGUUGCAUUGAUCUCUCCCUAAGCUGCCACCUGCCAUCGCCUCCCACCUUUGAUCCUUUGCCAUCAUUAGUGUCUUCAAACAGCACUGCUGUGUUCUGCCUGCAAAAACAAGCGUACUCCUCAGUGGAAAAAUACCACAUUCCAGCUUGGUGAAGCAGGUGGUGUGUUUCAUAGGAUGGAGCAGAAAGUAGCAUCUCUUCUUCUCAAACAAGAAGGAAGACUAUUAGCACAUCAGCACAGAAAGUCGUGCAUGAUGAAUUUUAAGUGCUGCCUCACAAAUGAAAAUGUGGUAAAGUUUGAAAAAUCAGCUUUGAAAAUGUAUUAAGUCCAUUAUUCAAACCCAAAGUCUUAACUUUUUUAAAAAACCAAUUUUCCCAUCUUUCAAAUAAGGGGGAUGGAGCAGAUGAUGUUCAAGAUGCUCAAAAUUCUUUUUGCUCCGUGAGAUCUAAAACCUGACCUUGGCAUCACGUAAUGACCAUCACAGUCAACACUGCUCACAACAUACACAAUGGGAUGCCUGGUAUGUUUUACAGCUAUUAUCUGGACUAAAUAUCCCAUUUCAUUUCUAGCCUAGGUAGACAGAAGAUGAAAAGGUUUGUGUUUUUUUCUUUAUGUGGACAAUCCAAGUUAAUGUAAUUAUGUUACUCAGAGUCUGGGAAAUGAAGAAGCAACAAACAUAUUUGAACAUCAGAGUUUCUGCUGCAGGCUCAGAAUAACUCAGUUUUUAAUUUCUCUUCUUGGAAGAAGGUUCCUUUUUUCUAUGAAGGCUCACUCUUCUGAAUAGGACCAAAUGGAGCUUCAACAACAUGGAUACAAAAUACCACAACCAAGAGUGGGAGCUGUGCCAUGCCACAGACACAGCCUUGCAAAUGCAGGGAAUUCUGCCUGAUUCUGACUAGAACUGGUUAAGGAAAAGGCUGACACCAAACAGAGCAGCAUCCUUCAUGGCAAAGGCCUCAGCCACUGGGUCACUUCUAACUGUGACAACUGCAAUAUAGGGCCAUACUGUCCUCCAGCUGAUACCAUAUAUACACAAAGAAAUGACUUUUCAUUUUUGCAUGGUUUUCCCACACACUGCUGGAAUGACCAAAGCAGAAAGUCUACGGUUUUGCUACAUAUGCUACAUAUGCAGAAGCAACCUUGCAUACUAGUGUGGUUUCAUUUUUGAGAUCAAAGAAAGCCAACAUUAGACUCACUCAGCUCAGCUGGGUAUGAUUCCAUAGGGAAUACAGCACCACAAUUCCAUUGUAAUAAUGUCUUCCUUUAUUUACAAGGAUGGCAAGAGAAGGAGUGACUCAAUAUAGCCAAUUCUGAACCCUGAAACAUCAUGCACACCAAUAACAAGCUAUGGAAGCCUG
Long non-coding RNA from Gorilla gorilla gorilla (western lowland gorilla), 1520 nucleotides. RefSeq lists it as uncharacterized. Lineage: Eukaryota; Metazoa; Chordata; Mammalia; Primates; Hominidae. The record is from RefSeq and is a predicted model, not a curated record. The transcript has 2 exons.